UCCAGGCGGGGGCGUGUCAUGGGCGGAGCUUCCAGAGUCCUGUGCUGAUGAGGAGCUUGGGGCGUGCACAAUGAUGCAAUAUGCCCACACCCUUGCCCCGCCCCCUGGACGGAGGGACCCUUGAUAAUGAUGGGAGUUCUCCAUUAAAGACCAACAGGUGCAGCUGGCCAGUCUUCGCUUUUGACCGAAUCUACAGUAAGCACAGAUCGGCACUAAGAUUGAUGCAUUCAGCUUUAUAAUAAAUCCAAGCGGUAUACUUUGGAAAAUACAUAAAGGGAAACUUUUACACCAAAUGUUAAAGGGAAUCUAAGUUGCUACAAAUAGGAGCAACUUGUUUGACCGUUAUUUGGCUCAGAGAAAUUAGUCCCAUCUGGGAAAACCAUCAAGAACAGCUUAUACUAGAGUGAAACACCCCUGAUGAAGUCAAUAUUGACGAAACUCGUUGGGUGAUAUGAAAGUUGCUAGAUGCCACCGAGUGCCUCCUUUGUGGUUUGGAUAUGAAUAUUUUGGAUGAUUGCACCGGAGCACGCUGAGUUUGCUUACACACGGAGUGCCGGCAUAUUGUGGAUAAUAUAUAUAUAUAUAUAUAUAUAAUUUCUUUGAAAGUCCGCACUCACAUCAGAAAAAUCCAUAUAUAGGGGUGCUCCUCAAAAAACCCCAAGGAGAGUUUCACAUAUACCAGGUAUCCGAGACCAAAGAGAUCUCAAAAGAGGGCACUCACCAGUCCAAUAAAUUAAAAGGCUUUUAUUAGUUCAUCGCAGUCAUCAAUAGAUAGUCGACGUUUCGACCUAUAAGGUCUUUUUCAAGACAGUCACCGCAGACAUCCAGUCAGCAUGCCAGCUAACAGCAUACUGACUAUACCUACCGGGUCCCCUUAUAUAGCAACAC
Molecule: long non-coding RNA, 888 nt
Organism: Pseudophryne corroboree (corroboree frog)
Lineage: Eukaryota; Metazoa; Chordata; Amphibia; Anura; Myobatrachidae
Exons: 5
Source: RefSeq, a predicted model, not a curated record